UACGUAGGGGGCUAGCGUUGUCCGGAUUUAUUGGGCGUAAAGAGCGUGUAGGCGGCCAGGUAGGUCUGGUGUGAAAACUCGAGGCUUAACCUCGAGAUGUCAUCGGAAACCAUCUGGCUAGAGUCCGGAAGAGGAGAGUGGAAUUCCUGGUGUAGCGGUGAAAUGCGCAGAUAUCAGGAAGAACACCCGUGGCGAAGGCGGCUCUCUGGGACGGUACUGACGCUGAUGCGCGAAAGCGUGGGUAGCAAACAGG
Molecule: ribosomal RNA, 253 nt
Filed under: uncultured bacterium
Lineage: Bacteria
Description: partial 16S ribosomal RNA
Rfam family: Bacterial small subunit ribosomal RNA
Source: RNAcentral